UUCCAGGUGGCCUCAGAAAACCAGCUGUCUUUAUAUCCAAAUAAUAUCUUCUACAAAUUUUAAUCCACAAAAGCAAACAGAUGGAAGUUACUUUUAGUCAUGGCUAAGGACAAAACUUUUUAUUUUGCUUUCCUCUUUUCCAAAGGUUUCCCUGUCCAAUUUCUGUAUUUUUCUGGAUUCAAUUUAUGGUCUGAUACAGACACACCAAAGCAAAGGCAAAGAAGAUUUGGGAAGAGUCCUAUUAGUCUUCCAGGCUAGCAAUGUAUCAACAUUUCCUGAUCCACUAUUAUAAAAUGAUCACAUCACAUUUUCCUAGAAAAGAACAGUGUUUUGGGAUUUGGUUGUUGGUUUUAGUAUGCUGGUUGAUUGUCUUUUGUUUGACUUGGCUCUGUGUUGGUUUUGUUUAAUUUGGGGGGUUGUUGGCUUUUUAUUUGGUUGGUUUGGUUUUAAUUAAUUUUCAACUCUGAAUUUCAAAUUAAGGAUUUGAAGAAGCUUUAGCAAUACUUUGUGGCUGGACAACGGAUCUUUUUCCAAUUAAAGUCUUUUCAUGUAAUACAGAUUGAAGGUACACCCUCUUCAUAGGACUAGACAUGGAAAUGGAAUACUCCUACAUGCAAGUGCAGAUGCAAAAUGUCUUUUUGCCAUUCCUAUUUAUCUGCUUGAAGAUUGAAACAUACUGAAGAAGAAGAGAGCAUCUGGUAGAGUGUUUGUGUGAUACAAACCAUUUCUCAUUCGGUAUGUUAAUUCUAGGUCUCUCCGGUUCUAAGGUGACUGAACCUGUGUCCAUUAGGGUAUCUUGAAAGCUGGACACUACUGUAAAAAUAGGAAUGAAAGAGUAGGUGAAAAGGUAAGAAGAAGGGAGAAAAUUAAACUCCACAUAAAAGGAGUUCUUUGUAGAAGACAAGUGCCUGUGCAUGUAUAGAUUGCUGAAGUUACACACCUGGGAGACUUUGACAGAUCAUCGGAGAAAACCUUCAGAACUUCUUCUGGGUUCCUAUACUGUGGCACAUCAUGUAAUUUGAAGAAACCCAGGCCAUCAGAUCAUCUACACGGGGCAGGAAGACAUGAUAGGGAACUCAUGAGGGUUUCAUAACAUCCUGGAACAACUGAUCUUGGAACUUGGGUUUUACAAUUACUAUAACAGAUUUUUAGACACCUCUUCUACAUGAAGACUGACAUGAAGUAAACACCCAUAGCAGACCUCUACAUUUAGACACCUGAUCCAGUCAUGUCUAUUGGCAUUAUAGAUAUUUAAAAUGUCUAAAAUAUCCAAGAAGAACCCAAAGAUCAUUCUUGAAAGACACAGAUGUUUUAUACAUUUAUUUGCCAUAUGUGUCAGACCAACUAAAAUAUUUAGGAUACUCAAGAGUUUCUCAAAAGGCACAGUGGGCAGCUGAAUGUAAUUUCUUAAUGUCAGGCUGAAUACCUUCAACAAGUUUAAUUACUUUGAGAAUGAAACAGUGCUAGAAAGUAAGCAGCUUGAGUUGCUCUUGGAAGCUCAGGAGGAGGUUUAGGCUCCUAAGGCACUACUCCCUGGUAUUCUGCUAAAAGAAAAUGGAACAAGAGGAUCAGUGCUGAUAGCCUGUGUCUUGUUACUGUCCAGUCUCAUUCGGAAUUCAGUAAGCUAUUUGGGUCAGUCUUCUACAGCAGUCAAUUUCACAAGUUAACUAUAUUUUGCUCAAAAUAUUUUCUAUCCUGCACAGGUAAAAGAGUGUUAUAGCCUGGAACAAAAGACUUUAGGUGGAAAGAAGCUGGUGUUUCAUGAAUGUCCUCUGACACUCCUGAAUUUUCUGUAUAUUCAAUUUCUGUAUGAGUCUUUCUAGCAAUAAUACAGUCAUAUCAAUGCUUAGUUAUUUCCCAGUCACUUAAUCCUCCUUCUGUUAAAAGACUUAUACACUGGCUUAUCUUAAGUCCCAACUUAAAGUUUAAAAAGUUAAUCAACAUAGAAAGACCCUCAGUUUACAUUUUUUAAAUUUUUAUUUUAGAUAUUUGGAAGGAUUUAAGGAAUAGAUUUCACAUUGCAUAUCAUUACUAUACUAUAAAUUCAAACAACAUUUAAGAAAAAAUAAUAUUGUAUAAUUUCUCACUUUAUUUUAAAAGUUGUGUUUUGCAGUACCAUGCUUAUUAAAUAGAAACACUACUAUCUUCCUUCUGUCGAGUGCUCUCUAAUGGAGACUGUUAUCCCCUACUUUGAAGUCCACAAAGGUUUGCAAAUUCCACAACAAGUGUUAAGUUAGCCUAAGAAACACUUUGGGAAAAAAAGAAAGAAGUCAUAAAGUGGCAUGAAAUGAGAUAAACAAAAAAAGGAGGGCAUAUUUUAAAAAUGUUUGGAAAGUAUUUCUUAUUCUUUCUAGAGUAGAAAAGCCUACUGAAAUAAUAUACCAUAAAGUCUUCAAAAAUAUUCUGUUUACAUUUUCCUUAGACUUGAUGUGGUCAAGUCACUUGAAAACCUCUCCAGUGCUGAAUAAUGUUGUGUGUAUGUAAAAGUUUCUGAAUAGCAAAGAAAUCUUUAUUAUGGAAUAGCAAAAUUUUAUUUACAGCCAAAUAGAAAAACAAUAGUGAAUUCUAGAAAUUUGUGCAGAUGCAGAGAGAAAAGCAUAGCCACAAAAACACAGAGAUAAGCUAAAAAACUUACAAGAAGCAAAAUGCAAAUCUACUUACUAAGAAGCUUAAAUAAUGAAACCCAGAUUUUUGUUACAAUAGUUUAAAGAAAAUUCAGAACUAUGAUUUUAUAAAUUUAAGCUGUAUUUUGGAUAUAAUUAACAGUGAUUUUAAGAACCCAUUAAUAGAUAUAUUAAAGUCUAACACUGUGCAACCAGCUUAGAGAGUCUGGGGUUCUUUUCUGAUUGUUUCUCGUGUGUCUAUAAGGUUCUAAAAAGCAGGGUUUUCUUUUUUAAUGUGCUGGAUAGAAUUACCACACUCAAACAAGUUAUAUGCACUAAUACCUUCAUAUGAGAUAAAGAACAGGUAUGUCCUUUUUCUGUCACUACGUAUUUUAGUAUUCAUGCUUCUGUCAGUAAAAUAAAGGAACAGAUCAGAAAUUAGAAAAUGGCAAGUAGUAGGAGAGAUGAGAAAUUAUGCAAACGCUGAAAUUACUUUUAGUGACUAUUACAUAACACUAUUAGUGACAUUUCCACCCCCACUGUUAAGAAGUAGUAAAGAUGUUUGGUACUUUUUAGUUCUCUUAAAGAAUUCAAAAUAAACUGAGUAAAAAUUAGAGGACAUUGGAUGAUAAAUGCUGUCUGAAUGAAAUACAUUCUGUGUCUAACCAGAUUUCCAAGGGAAAAUGUGUGGUAACUUGUCUAACGAUUUUGGAAAAAAAACAUGUUGAAAAGCUGCCUAGUACUACUAUUUCCAUUACUUGUGAUAUUAACGAGAUGUCUCUAGAAUUCUAUGGUGUCAAAUAAAUGGUAAAAAGAUACCAGUGACUGAAUAAUACAGAGAUUUUUUUUUGUCGUCAAAACAAAGAAGGAACAGAAGGAGAAGGAAAACAGAAUCACAGAUCUGUUAGGUUCAGCAUCAAUCAUUUCCAAACCUUAUCCAUAAUAAAUAUGCUUCUCAACACUGGUUUUGAAAAAGAUUAAAAAUUUCCCCAAAACAUGAGUCCUGUGUUGCUGUAAGAAAGAAUUGAUAAAGAAACAAGUUAUUACUUGAUUGUGUUGAUUUGUAGAAUAUAUUUAACAUUCUAUUUCCAAAAGCUGUAAGAAAAGCAAACAAACAAAAAAAAAAAAGGAGUGAAUUUCGAACUACAUCAUUACAUAUUGUUGUUUUGUGAGGAAAAAGUUGUUUGUGUUAUUUAGCCAACUGUCAGUGCUAUAUUGCUAUAAUUUAAAAGUGACAAAUGCUCUAUAGUGUAAACCGGACACAAUGUUCUCAUCAGCCCCCAAGACAGCUGCAUUUUCUACCCUUAGGUUUUUAGCGUCUGGGGAACACUGAAAAACUGCAACAAUAUUUAUUCUUCUUUCUGUUAACAACCUCUAUCAGUUUCCAGUGGCAGCAAAUUUAAACUUUUUUCACAAUAUUUUGUUUUCAAUAUUGAAAUAUACAAAUACGUAUUUACAGAUACAUUUUAAGUCCUGUAAAACCUGAUCAAGGUAAGAAGACAUUCCAAUCAUAUUAAGAGCUCUGUCUGCAGCAGCAGAAUUGAUACAAAAUUCCAGCCAAAGUUCGACUUAGUGUUUCGUAUGUCACCUCAGCAUGAAUAACUGGACAGCAUAAAUGUAAGUGUAAGCAGCUCAAAGACUACUUUUGUGGUGCUUACCCACAAAAGGGAGCAGCCUUAGUGAUUUACAACUGAAAAGCUAUCAGCUUGUCUUGAGGUCUUUGGAUUAUUUGGUAAAGCUCAUGUCAUUUAUAAUAUAUGAAGUGAUUUCAUUACUUACUAUGUGCAAAAAAAAACCCCUAUAAAAACGAAUGUGUUAUUCUAUCUUUUUUUCUUUACUUGGGAUAUAGGUAGAACAGUAUUUGUGAGCUUUAUCUUGACAGACUUAAGAACCCAAUGUAACAAAAGGGAUAGGAGUUAGUACAUGGAGAUGUGUACUUGGUGGUAUCUUACUCCUAUAAAUUAUACAAUAAUUUUGGAGAAUGAAAUAUUCAUUUAUGUUAAUGAUGAUGAAAUACAUUACUAUAGCCAAAAUGACUGCCCCUCAAGAGAUAAAUUAUGAACUUUUAUAGAACUCAGAUGCUGAUAUUUUAAAGAACUGAUACUUACCAGAAUUUUAAUAUAAUGCACUUAGCAAAUAAUCUUCCAGAGCCCUAAGGCUGUAUAUGAGCAUCUUCAUUUAACCCUAAACCCUGAUGACUUCUCUGGGAAGUAUGGAAGGUAGUAGUAGUACAUAUUGUAACAUUAAAUUAUUUGGGUCUUUUUCUCUAACUAAAAUUAUCAGUGCUAUAUGGCAGAUACAUAUUGUGUUAUAAACACCACAGAUCAAUAUUUAGAUUUAAAUAUUAAAUAAGAGAUGGUAGGAAGUUAAGGCUUCAUGAGUGGUACACAGUGCAUGUCCACUUGGGACCUUCUUGAAAUCAUGGUAGGCAUUUGGCAUGUAGGCAUUUGAAUGAUAUUAAGAUAAAAAUAGUAGUUGCAUAAUCUCUAUGCAUUUUUAGAUGCACUUACAUUUUGAGUACAUAUUUCUCAAAGACUACACUGAAUUUUUCUAACUCUGUUAAAAUAUGCAAUUAUGAAAAGAAAGGAACAUAUGGGGGGGAUGUUAUUAACAAUGUAGACUAGACCCGAAUGAAAGGCGGAAUUGAGAAGGGGGAAGCAAACAACUGAAAAAGCAAUCAAUUUGCCUCACUUCUUACUAAGUACACAGAAAAAUUAUUAUUGCUGCAGUAACCAUAUUCAACAGCUAGUACUAAGAUCAAGUGAGCAUAGCAAUUUCAUGUUAUUGGUUAAAAUAGAUGAGGGUUAGUAGAGAAAUCCUUGUAUUUUUAUAUUCUAGGGCAUAAAUGCUACUUUUACACAUUGAAACUAGGAAGAAGCUAAGUAAAUAUUUUGGGCUAAUAAUCUAAAUCUGUUAGUAAUAGAAAUUCAUUAAGAAAUGUCUUCAUUUAGAAACUAGAACCUUAAAAAUAUUGAAUUAAACUUUUAUGUACAUUGGUUCCAGUUUUCUAUAAAUAUGUUAUUAGUGGUGUAAUACCACAUAUAAAAUUCAUAAGGUUUAUUAUUUGCUAUGGGCUGUUAAAUAAAGUGCUGCAAAACUUAUUUAAACACACAUUCACCUGAUAGACUGCUGUAAUGAUCCAUGGCAACAUAUAUGCAUCCCACACACUGAUCUUUUGAACAACUCUAAUUCAUCAUGGGAAACAGAAUGUGCAAUUUUCUACUUCAGAAAGUAAAGACCAUUAAUAUUUAAGAGAAAACACCCUUAAUUUCUAGCAUUCACUGUCUUAGAAGAUUGUACUUAAAGACAUCAUCAAAGUUUUUGGUUUUGUUGAUAACACAUUAAAACCACCAAAAUAAAACCUUUUGAAAUGUUAUUAUUUAUUUGCUAUGAAGACUGUACUUGCUAAUGUGUAAUCUAUGUAAUGGAUAGAAAGGAUGAAAAUUGAACUAUUAAAACAUGUCUGGAUGCACA
Corvus hawaiiensis (hawaiian crow) is the source of this 6077-nucleotide long non-coding RNA. RefSeq lists it as uncharacterized. NCBI's taxonomy places the organism in Eukaryota, Metazoa, Chordata, Aves, Passeriformes, Corvidae. The transcript has 2 exons. The record is from RefSeq and is a predicted model, not a curated record.